UCUCCAUCUGACUGAUGGCUUUCUAGCUCCACUGAAGUCAGCAGCAGAAUUUCCAGUAAGUUCAGCAGGGGCACAAUUUCACUCGUGGUUUCAGCAGAGUGGUUAGAAAUGCAGUUAAAGGGAAGGGAGAAUUUUAAGCGGAUUCCUCCUGCAUGGCAGUACAUAGGGUUAAAGGUUAACAACUGACCAAUUCCUCGGACAAGGUGUUAUUCAAAAUCAGGUGUGGAAAAAAAAAGAAUAGAAUGUCAGUCUUGGAUAUGACUGCCGGGAGCUGCUGCUGUUC
This is a long non-coding RNA of Oxyura jamaicensis (ruddy duck), 283 nucleotides long. RefSeq lists it as uncharacterized. The transcript has 3 exons. The record is from RefSeq and is a predicted model, not a curated record. NCBI's taxonomy places the organism in Eukaryota, Metazoa, Chordata, Aves, Anseriformes, Anatidae.